UCUAAUAAAAAAGAAAAGAAAAAGAACCGUGUGGUCUAGUGAUAAUGAACUGUCUGUAAAGCAUAUAUAGAUUAUAUACAGAGAGAUACUUGCCACAAAAUGGAUUAAAUACACAUAUAUAAAUACAUAUGAAAAAAAUAAUUAUCAUAUGGUGACUUUACCAGCAUAUCAAAAUUGAAUCUGACACGAUUUGAUUUAAAAUAUGUGAUAUCAAGGCCAUCUUGUUUCCAGAGAGAAAAUUCUGAUACCAUGGAAACAUUUUUAUUGACCCAGUUUUGUUUCUGCAUUGAGCUGCAGGGAGGAGGAAAUGCAAACACCAGAGAUCAAGAAAAAGGGAGACAAAAUCAUUUCUCUUUCUGUUUUCUGUUUUGUAUUUCUGUGUUUCCUACACUACCUCAAAGUCUAAUGUCAUAAUUUUUUAUUUUCUUGAGAGUGUCAAAUGAUGACUAAGGAUUAGCAACUCAAACCAUUUUAUUUACAAUCAAUAUACACAAGCUCCAUUCACACACACACACACACACACACACACACAUUUAUCACAUGUGCUUUUUUCCUUAAAUCCAAAAGUUUGUACUAAUAAUAUAACAAGCACCAUCAACUGGACCUCUACACCAUCUUCCCAUCUUUCUUUUAUUGAUAAAUCUUACAUACUCCCAGAUCCAUAUGCGGACACUCAGCCAGAGCGCCUUGCUUGCAUUUAGCUGUGCCACUGUGACUGAACAUCCACUACAGCAAUGUGAGUAGCAGUGAUUCUUUUUUUUUUUUUUUUUUUUUGACAGGCAGAGUGGACAGUGAGAGAGAGAGAGAAAGGUCUUCCUUUGCCGUUGGUUCACCCUCCAAUGGCCACCGCAGCCGACACGCUGCGGCUGGCGCACCGCGCUGGUCCAAUGGCAGGAGCCAGGUACUUCUCCUGGUCUCCCAUGGGGUGCAGGGCCCAAGCACUUGGGCCAUCCUCCACUGCCCUCCCAGGCCACAGCAGAGAGCUGGCCUGGAAGAGGGGCAACCGGGACAGAAUCUGGCGCCCCGACCGGGACUAGAACCUGGUGUGCCGGCGCCGCAAGGCGGAGGAUUAGCCUAGUGAGCUGCGGCGCCGGCCAGCAGUAAUUCUUGCUGGGCCUUCAGUUCCUCUUUACUGGUCUACAGGGAUGCUGGAGUACAUAGCUACAUUCUAGCAAAGUUAGUGACAUACUGAGACUUCCAAGAGUGAGCAUACAAUCUUUCCCUGAGUGACAUCAAGAAACAGAUACUACAUACAAAAAACCAUUUUAUUUGAGUUCAUUUAUUUGGGAACCUCUGUUAUAACAACUUAGCUGGUGUUCCUGCUACAAAUAUCAAACUAUAAAAUGCCAACCUGUCAUAGUACUAUAUUAGGAGGGGUACACAGUUCUGAGGUCUUAAACACAUAUUUUUAACCUACUUUAUCUUACUCUUAUAUACUUUUUCAUUAUUACUUGACAGGCAGAGAGACAAAGAGAGAUGCAGACAGUGAGAUUUUUAUUCUGAUAGUUGAUUUCCAAAAUGCCUGCAAUAGCCAGGCUAGGAUGGGGCUGGAGCCAGGAGCCAGGAAUGCAAUCCAGGUAUCCCACACGGGACGCAAGAACCCACUUACUUGAGCCAUCCCUACUGCCUCCCAGGGUCUGCAUCUGAAAGAAGCUAGAGUCAUAAGCCAGAGCCUGGAAUUGAACCCAGUUAUUCUGAUGUGGUAUACAGCAUUUUUAAAUUUUUUAAAAUUUUAUUUAAGUUACACAAAUUUCAUAUGUACAGAUUCAGGAAUAUAGCAAUAGUUUCCACUUUAUUCUUCCAACCAACAUUCACAUCCUUCUUCCUCCUCCAUCUCAUAUUGCCAUUCUCAUUUUUUACAAAGACCGGUUUUAAGUUAACUUUAUACUAAUGAUUAACACUACACCAAGUAAAGAGUUCAACAAAUAGCAUGAAGAAAAAAAAAAAAAACUGUUCUUCAACAGCAGAGACAAAGGCUAUCAAAAAUCAUUGCAUCCCAGUCGGGGCGCCGGAUUCUGUCCCGGUUGCCCCUCUUCCAGGCCAGCUCUCUGCUGUGGCCCAGAGUGCAGUGGAGGAUGGCCCAAGUGCUUGGGCUCUGCACCCGCAUGGGAGACCAGGAGAAGCACCUGGCUCCUGGCUUCAGAUCAGCGCGGUGCACCGACCGCAGCUUGCCAGCUGCAGCGGCCAUUGUGGGGGGUGGUGAACCAACGGAAAAAGGAAGACCUUUCUAUAUCUUUCUCUCACUGUCCACUCUGCCUGUCAAAAAAAAAAAAACAUCACAUCUCAAAGUAUCAAUUCCAUUCCUAUAGAUUACCUUUUGGGUACUCAAUUAGUUACCACAGAUCAGGGAGAGCAUAUGGUAUUUGUCUAUUGGGUACUGGCUAAUUUCUCUAAGUAUAAUGGUUUCCAGUUGCAUAUAUUUUGUUGAAAAAGACAGAAUUUCAUUUUUUAACCACUUGUGUAAUAUUCCACAGUGUAUAUAUAUUGUAAUUUCUUAAUCCAGUCUUCAACUGAUAGACAUUUUGGUUGAUUCCAUAUCUUAGCUCUUGUGAAUUGAGCUGCAAUUAAUCUGUGGGUAAGAUCACUCUAUCAUAUGCUGCUUUUUUUAUUUGGGUUAAUUCCCAAGAGUGGAAUAGAUGGAUCAUAUGGUAGGUUUAUGUUCAGAUUUCUGAGGUAUCUCCAUACCAUCUUCCGUAGUCGCUGCAUCAGUUUACAUUUCCACCAAUAGCAAAUUAGGGUACCUUUUUUCUCCACAUCCUCACCAGCAUUUGUUGUUUAUUGAUUUCUGAAUGAGAGCAAUUAUAACUGGUGUGAGGCGAAACCUCAUAUUUGAUUUUGAUCAGCACUUCCCUGAUGGCUAAUAAUCCUGAGCAUUUUUUCAUAUGUCCAUUGGCCAGUUGAAGUUUCUCUUUUGAAAAACGCCUAUUCAAGUCAUUUGCCUAUUUCUUAACUGAAUUGUUUUGUUGUUGUUGAGUUUCUUGAGCUCUUUAUAGAUUCUGGAUAUUAAUCUUUUCUCAGUUGCAUAGUUUGUGAAUAUUUUCUACCAUUCUGGUGGUUACCUCUUCACUUUGUUCAGUGUUUCUUUUGCAGUGCAGAAGCAUCUCAGCUUGAUGUAAUCCCAUUUGUCAAUUUUGGCUUUGAUUGUCUGUGCUUCUAGGAUCUUUUCCAAGAUUUUUUUUGCCUAUGCCAAUGUCUUGAAGAAUUUCCCCUAUGUUCUCUAGUAAGUUGAUGGUAUCAGGUUGUAGAUUUAGGUCUUUGAGCCAGCGCCGUGGCUCAAUAGGCUAAUCCACCUUGCAGCGCCAGCACCCGGGGUUCUAGUCCCAGUCAGGGCGCCGGAUUCUGUCCUGGUUGCCCCUCUUCCAGUCCAGCUGUCUGCUGUGGCCCAGAAGUGCAGUGGAAGUGCAAGAGUUUGGGGCCUGCACCCACAUGGGAGACCAGGAGAAACACCUGGCUCCUGACUUUGGAUCAGUGCUGUGCGCCAGCUGUAGUGGCCAUUGGAGGGUGAACCAAUGGUAAAGGAAGACCUUUCUCUCUGUGUCUCUCUCUCUCACUGUCCACUCUGCCUGUCAAAAAAAAAAAAGAUUUAGGUCUUUGAUCCAUUUUGAGUGGAUUUUUGUGUAAGGAGUAAGGUAAGGGUCUUGUCUCAUACUUCUGCACAUGGAGAUCCAGUUUUUCCAGCACAAUUUGUUGAAGAAACUGUCCUUUCUCCAUGGAUUGAUUUUAGCUUCUUUGUCAAAAUAAGUUGGUUAUAGGUGUGUGGAUGGAUUUCUGGAGUUUCCAUUCUGCUCUGUUGGUGUAUAAGUCUGUUUUCAUGCCAGUUCCAAGCUAUUUUGAUUAUACCUGUCCUGUAGUAUGUCUUAAAAUCAGGUAUUGUGAUGCUUCUGGCUUUGUUUUUGUUGUAUAAGAUUUUUUUUGCUAUUCAGGGUCUCUUGUGUUUCCAUAUGAACUUUAACAACAUUUUUAAUAGAGCUGAGAAGAAUAUCUUUGGUGUUUUGAUUGGGAUCAAAUUGAAUCUGUAAAUUGCUUUUGAUAGUAUGGACAUUUUGAUGAUAUUGAUUCUUCCAAUCCAGGAUCAUAGAAGAUUUUUCCAUUAUUUUUUUUGUCUUCUAUUUCUUUCCUUAGUGUUUUGUAAUUUUCGUUGUAGAAACCUUUGGUGUUCUUGGUUAAAUUUAUUCCAAGGUAUUUAAUUGUUUUUGCAUCAGUUAAGAAUGGGUUGAUCUUGCAAGUUCUUUCUCAGCCAUGGCAUUGUCUGUGUAUACAAAACUUCCUGACUUUUUGUGUUAAUUUCAUAUCCUACAACUUCACCAAACUCUUUCAUGAGUCUCUUGGAUCAUUUAUGAGUAUUUUGGGUCUCCUAUGUAUAUAUAGAAUCACAUCAUCUGCAAAUAGGAAUAGUUUGACUUUUUCCUUUUCAAUUAGUAUCCCUUUGAUUUCUUUUUUUUCUUGCCUAAUGGCUCUGGAUAGAUGUUCCAGGACUAUACUGAAUAGCAAUGGUUAGAGUGGCAUCCCUGUCUAGUUCCGGAUCUUAGUGUGAAUGUUGCCACAUUUUCUCUUUCAGUAAGAUUCUGGCUGUUGGUUUGUCAGAAAUUUCCUUGAUUCUCCUGAAGAAUGUUCCUUUUAUAAUCAAUUUGCUUAAGGUUUUCAUCAUGAAAGAAUGUUAUAUCUUAUCAAAUGCCUCUUCUGUGUCUAUGGAGAUAUUCAUGGAGUUUUUGAUCUUCAGUUUGUUAAUGUGGUAUAUCACAUUUAUUGAUUUCUGAAUGUCAAGCCAUCCCUGCAUACCAGGGAUAAAUCCCACUGAAUUUAUUGGUUCAGGUGAAUUAUCUUUCUGGUGUGUUUUUGGAUUCAAUUAGCUAGUAUUUUGUUGAGGACUUUUGCAUCAAUUCUCAUAAGAAAUAUCAAUUGAUCCGCAGUUCUCUUUCUCUGUUGUAUCUUUUUCUGGUUUAGGAAUUAAGGUCAUGCUGACUUCAUAGAGGAGGUGAUGGUGUGACAACACCAACAGAGGUGACCAUAACCCACCCUUUUAUAAAAAAGAAGAGAUCUAACACACCCAACUUGGGUGUCACCCUGGAUCCUCACCUUACCCUGGAGCACUGAACAGAGCUCCAUGGUCACACCCAACAUGCACUUCUGAGUAUUCACUGAAGAGCAGACAUUCUUGUAAGCCACAGAGGAAUAGUUCAAAGAUAUAAGCUACUAAAGGAGUAAACUAAAAAUAUCUCCACAAAUGCCUAAAAAUAAAUGCAAAAAAUUCAAGAAACUAGAUUAAGGAAGACAAAAUGGCCUCCCAAAAGGAAUACAACAGUGCUUUAAAUUAGAAUGUGAUGAUGGGGGCCGAUGCGGUGGCGCAGUAGGUUAAUCCUCCACCUGAGGUGCCAGCAUCCCAUAUGGGUGCUGGUUCUAGUGCUGACUGCUCCUCUUCCCAUCCAGCUCUUAGCUAUGGCCUGGGAAAGCAGUAGAAUAUGGCCCAAGUCCUUGGGCCCCUGCACCAGUGUGGAAGGCCCAGAAGAAGCUUCUGGCUCCUAGCUUCAGAUCAGCACAUAUCCAGCUGUUGUGGCCAUUUGGGGAGUGAAUCAACAGAUGGAAGACCUGUCUCUCUGUCUCUCCCUCUCACUGUCUGUAACUCUACCUCUCAAAUAAAUAAACAAAUCUUUAAAAAACUGUGAUGAUGAAGAGAUUGUUGAAAUGCCUGAAAUGGAAUUCAAAAGAGUAAUCAUAGGGUUACUCAGAAGCAAUGAGAAGAAAAUCAGAAAUUAUAGAAAUCCAUACAGGACAUGAAUGGAAACUUUUCUUAUGAAAUAGACAUCUUGAAGAGAAAUCAAAAUGAAAUAUUAGAAAUGAAGAAUUCAAUAGAUUGAAUUAAAAAUCAGUGGAAAGACUUAACAAAAGAUUUUUAAGGCAGAUGAAUAACCAAGAAAGACGACAACUCUUGAAAUAUUACAGUAAGAAAGUAAGAAGAAGAAAUUAGAACAAGUCAAAACAUCAUUGGAGAUUUAUGGGAUACUAUUAAAUGACCCAAUAUACAGGUAAUAGGAUUCCCUGAAGAUGUGGAAACAGAGAAUCGACUAGAAGGCCUAUUUAGUGAAAUAAUUACAAACACUCCCCCAGUUUGGAGAAAGAAAGGAAUGUCCAAGUACAGGAGGCACAAAGAACUCCUAACAGGCAUAACCAAAAGAUCUUCAUCCCAAUGCAUUGUAGUCAAACUUUCAAUGGUAAAACAUAAAGAAAGGAUUCUAAAAUAUGAAUGACAGAAAGACCAGAUUUCUUUCAGAGGAUCUCCAAAUAGGCUCACACCUGGCUUAUCAGAGACUCUACAGGCUAAUAGAGAAUGGUGAAACAUAUUCCAAAUAUUAAGAGAAAAUAAAUCUGUCAACUCAGAAUACUCUGCAAAGCUCUCAUUUGUGAAUGAAGGUGAAAUAAAGACCUUCCAUAAGAAACAGAAAUUGGGCUGGCGCCGCGGCUCACUAGGCUAAUCCUCCGCCUAGCGGCGCCGGCACACCGGGUUCUAGUCCCGGUCGGGGCGCCGGAUUCUGUCCCGGUUGCCCUUCUUCCAGGCCAGCCCUCUGCUGUGGCCAGGGAGUGCAGUGGAGGAUGGCCCAGGUGCUUGGGCCCUGCACCCCAUGGGAGACCAGGAAAAGCACCUGGCUCCUGGCUCCUGCCAUCGGAUCAGCGCGGUGCGCCGGCCGCAGCGCGCCGGCCGCGGCGGCCAUUGGAGGGUGAACCAACGGCAAAGGAAGACCUUUCUCUCUGUCUCUCUCUCUCACUGUCCACUCUGCCUGUCAAAAAUAAAAAAAAUAAAUAAAAAAAUAAAAAAAAAAGAAACAGAAAUUGAAAGAAUUUGUCACAACUUGUUCAGCCUUACAAAGAUGCUUAAGGAUGUGCCACACACAGAAAUACAGAAAGAUAGUCAUCAUUAUGAAAAAAUGUGAAAGCAGAAAAUUUCUCAGUAAAAGCACAAAGGAAAUUAAAAGUAAAAUAUGGAAAUAUUUAUGGAAAAAUAGCAGGGCCAAGUCAUUAUUUAUUAAUGGUAACCUUGAAUAUAAAUGGCCUCAACUCUCCAGUUAAAUGAGACAGACUGGGGGCUGGCGCUGUGGCUCAAUAGGCUAAGCCUCCACCUUGCGGCGCCGGCACACCGGGUUCUAGUCCCGGUUGGGGCACCAGAUUCUGUCCCGCCGGCCGCGGUGGCCAUUGGAGGGUAAACCAACGGCAAAGGAAGACCUUUCUCUCUGUCUCUCUCUCUCGCUGUCCACUCUGCCUGUCCAAAAAAAAAAAAUGAUAUAGACUGGAUGAAUGGAUUAAAAACCAAUAUCAUUUAUUUGCUGCCUACAAGGAACACACUCCGUCAACAAAGACAGACACAGACUGAAAGUGAAAGGAUAGAAAAAGAUAUUAAACGCUAAUGGAAAGCAAAAAUGAGCAGGUGUAACCAUCUUACUAUCAGACAAAGUAAAACUGAAUAGCUUCCAAAUUUUAGCAAUUAUGAAUAAAGUUGAUUUAAACAGCAAUAUGUAAGCUUUAGUGUUGAUGUGUUUUCAACUUUUCUGGGUAAAUAUCAUGGACUACUAUCAUGGGUCAAAUGGUAGGAGUAGAUUUAGCUUUUUGAAACACUGACAAAUUGUCUUCCAAAGUGGCUAUACCAUUUUCCAUUCUACUUGACAAUGAAUGAUAGUUUCUCUUACUCUAAAUCUUGAUUAGUAUCUAGUCUUGUCAGUUUCCUGGAUUGUGGUUAAUCUCAUAGGUAUGUAGUUGUGUCUCCUCAUUGUUUUAAUUUAUGGUUCUCCAAUUACACAUGCUACGGAGGAUCUUUCCAAUAUGCUUUUCGGCCAUCUGUACAUAAUUUUGACACUGUGUCUAUUAAGGUAAUUGACCCAUUAAGUUUUUUUAAAAAUUCAUUUAAUUUAAAAGGCAGAUGUGAAGAGGAAGAGAAAGAUUAAGAAUGAAGGCAGGAAGAGAGGGCUUUUUCAUCUACAGGUUCACUCCUCAAAUGUCCACAACACCUGGGCUUAGGCAAGACCAAAGUCAGGAGCUUAGAAUUCAACCUGACUCUCCCAUGUGUGUGGCAGAGACCCAACCACUUGAAUGAUCACUUCCUGCCUCUCAUAUUAUGCAUUACAUUAGCAUCAAGAUGGACUCAGAAGCUGACCUAGCACUCAAACCUUGGUAUGCCAGUAUGAGAUUCAAGUGUCCCAAGCAAAGCCUUAACCUCUGUGUCAAAUACCUGCCUCCUAUUUCUUAGGUUUCUUUUUAUUUAUGUUGAGUUUUAAGCUUGUGUGUGUGUGUGUGUGUGUCUGCAUGUUUUGGAUAAUAGUCCUUUAUCAGGUAUGUCUUUUGCAAAUAUUUUCUCCCUGUCAGUGGCUUCUCCUUUUAUUCUCUUCACAAUUUCUUUCUCAGAGUAGAAAAUUAUAAUUUCAAAUUAACUUAUCAAUUCUUUCUUGCACAGUUCUUGCCUUUCAUGUUCUAUCUUGUAAAAAAAGUCAUAGCCAAAUCCUAAGUCAUUUAUAUUUUUCUCAUCUGCUGUCUUCUAGGUUUUUUUUAUAGUUUUAUGCUUCAGACAUAAUUCUGUGGUCUAUUUUGAGUUAAUUUCAGUGCAACAUGUAAGGUUUGUACCUAGAGUCAUUAUGUUGUAUGUAGGAUGUUCUCUUGUUUCAGCACCAUUUGUUGAGAAGACUAUCUUCACUCUAUUGCAGAUAUUGAACUUGAUUUGCAAGAGUAAAUCCCUGGAAUAACUUUUGACACCCAUUAUAAAAUACUCUGAAGCAUAGUCUGUGGUAUACCUCCUUCAUAACAGAGAGUAAGAGUGCAGAAUCUGCCUGAGGUUGUCUGGGUUUGAAAGCUUUGCCACUUGUCAUCUAGAAAAUCAGGUUUCUGAAGGCUGAGAAAACUGAAAGCCUUGAAGACUGAGAAACAGAUCUCAAUUUCAGAAACGAAAGUGACUAUCCAGGAGAUCAUAGCUGGGAACAGAGCCCGGCAGCCUUUCCCGAGGUGAGCACAUCCCCCUUGGUCCAAGUGCUGUCUGCACACUCAAUGCAGGUCAUGGCAUUUCUGCAAAAGACGUUACUGAUGUGUUUUCUACCAGUACGUUUUUUCGUUCUAGGCAUACACUAAGUCACUGGCUUGUCAACAUUAAACUGUAUAACAUCCAUUAGUCACUACAUCUGGCUAGUUAAAAAUGGACAUUUGAGUAGUCAUUUUUACAGUCACCAUCCAUUCAAUCACUUAGCCACACCCAUUUUUCAUGCGUAACCCUGUGCAUUCACUUUGAGAUAUUGGGAGAACCUUAUCAGAAUAUGAUUAUUUAUGUUCUUACUUCUUCCACUCUGGCUGCUCCCAUAUGAAUGAUGAGCAGUACACUACAGACUGACUCAUUCAUUUUACUCAUUUUAACACUCAAUGAGAGAGACUUCUCCCCCGGAAAAGCACAUGAGCUUUUUGAAGUUAUCUGAAUGCCCUUAUGUGGAUAUCAUCAUUUAACUUGUUUGCUAUUAUCUUGUUUUUUUUUUCUCAAUCUUAGUUCCAAUAACAACCAAUCUUACUCUUAUUUAUGCUUUAUAGAACUGCUUGUUUAUCCUUAUUGUUUAUUGGUGACUCAGAUUUACAAAUAUAGUCAUUUGAUGAAAAAAGAAGCUUAGAAAAGUUAAUUAUGUUAAGCUACCCAAUGAGAAAAUGAGAUGGAAUUUGAAACUUGAUCCAACGAUCUAUGAAAAUAUGAAUCAUGUAUUAGUUUAAACUUUAGGAUAGUGGGUCUUACAUUUUAAUGUACUUAAAAAUAAUUUGAGGCUGGUGCCACGGCUCACUAGGCUAAUCCUCCACCUUCGGCGCCGGCACCCUGGGUUCUGGUCCCGGUUGGGGCGCCAGUUCUGUCCCGGUUGCUCCUCUUCCAGUCCAGCUCUCUGCUGCGGCCCAGGAGUGCAGUGGAGGAUGGCCCAAGUGCUUGGGCCCUGCACCUGCAUGGGAGACCAGGAGGAAGCGCCUGGCUCCUGGCUUCGGAUUGGCGCAGCGUGCCAGCUGCAAGGCGCCGGCCGUAGCGGCCACUUGGGAGGUGAGCCAAAGGAAAAAGGAAGACCUUUCUUUCUGUCUCUCUCUCUCUCACUGUCUAACUCUGCCUGUCAAAAAAAAAAAAAAAAAUCAUUUGAGAACCUGAUAAGAUAUUGAACUAGUCCAAGUUUCCAGUUCCUUCUUUCCAAAACAACCAUGGUGAAACAACACAGAGAAACAAAGCUCAAAAAGUGGGCAACAUGAUUCUAAAAAUCUAACUAAAAUCUGUGACAAGCUUUUGGAGCAACAAAGGUGAGUUGAGGGUUAGGGUACAGACACAAAACCAGUAAGAUUUGUUAAAUAAAAGCUUUUAAACUAAGCCAAUUCAGUAGAAAAUAUUUUUUAAAAAAUAAUACAGUAAAAUAAAGUUAGGAAGUAGAUAGUAAAAAAGUGGAAAUGCCAAAACUGCGAUAAUAGAAGCAAGAGUGAAAAACAUAAGGCAACAAAGAAAUGUUCAAUGAAAUAAUGAAGACAAAUUUUGCUGAAUUAAAGAAGGAAGAAAGACUGUUGAAAGGCCUUGAAGAGACACAGGAACAAUAAGUAAAAAUUUACACCCAGCCAUAUUACAAAAUCUCAAAAUAUGCCAGAGGAGGUCCUGUGGUGUGGGAGAUUAAAACCCCUGUUUGGGACACCCCCUCCCAUAUUGGAAUGCCCUGGAGCAAUCAAGUCCCACCACUGUUUCCAAUCCAGAUUCCUGCGAAUGCGCACCCCUGGAGGCAGCAGCUGAUGGCCCAGGUACGAGUCCCUGCCACACAUGGUAGACCCUGGUGCGGGUUUUGGCUCCUGGAUUUUGCAUGGCCCAAUCACAGCUGUUGUAGGCAUUUUGAGAGUGAGCUACCAAAAGGAAGAUCUCUCUCUCUCUCUCACUUCCUCCCUCCCUACUCCCCUCCCUCCCUUCCUCUCACUUUAAAAUAAAAUUUGAAAAUUAAAUGUUUGAGAAAGCAUUUAAACUUUUCUGAAAGGACAGAAGGAAACUUAGGGUGAGAUUUCCUGGGCCAAAGACUAUGUUUCACAGUGCUAAUUGAUAUGACCAUAUUAUUCUCCAGAACUGCAUCAAUUCAUAUAUCCACAAAUAAAGAAUAAGAGAUCUUUCCCUACA
This is a non-coding RNA of Oryctolagus cuniculus (rabbit), 11131 nucleotides long. The record is from RefSeq and is a predicted model, not a curated record. NCBI's taxonomy places the organism in Eukaryota, Metazoa, Chordata, Mammalia, Lagomorpha, Leporidae.